Molecule: non-coding RNA, 100 nt
Organism: Paramuricea clavata
Lineage: Eukaryota; Metazoa; Cnidaria; Anthozoa; Malacalcyonacea; Plexauridae
Source: the annotation of a GenBank genome assembly
AUACUGGAUACCUGAUGAAGUGUGUUGAUGCAGUCCAACGACCGAAUUAAUUUUGAUCCAGUCGUAGGACUGGAUCAACACACUUCAUCAGGUAUCCAGU